RNAcentral lists this long non-coding RNA (951 nucleotides) under Homo sapiens (human). RNAcentral's name for it is "HSALNT0370088". The record is from RNAcentral. Lineage: Eukaryota; Metazoa; Chordata; Mammalia; Primates; Hominidae.
AGUCAUGAAGAGUGCCUCUAUGAAGCCGGUGACGAGUGGUAUCACCUUCUCUUUCUCAAGAGGUCUGUCCAAGGGGGAGAAAAAGGGAAAAGUUCAAACUGGCAUUCAAUGGUUUGUUUCAGAGAACAGCAAGGAAUGGCUAACAUAUUUUAAUCAGCAUGUUAUCUCUUUCAAAAUUAAACAUAGCUUAUUUUCUUACCUAAUAUGAGGUAACACCACGAGGGCUGCCCAAGAUUGUGAAAGGUAAGUAGUAUCUUUAUUUGGGGGUAACUUAAUUAUAGAUAAAAGAUGGUCCAAUACUGGAAACUGUUCGUUUCUUCCCUUGGAUCUAGUCUUCUUCUGCUUUAUAUAGAAUCUGAAGGAUUAAAAAAAAUGUUUAAAAUAACAGAGAAUGUAAUCGCUCUUGCCCUCUGAAGUCUGAAAUAAAAUUGGAUUCUUACCAUUGUGGAGCAUUAGAGGGAAGGAAUUGGUGGUGGUGGUUGAGCUAAACAAAUGUGAGUCAUUUACUGAGUUUUCAGUGAGAAGCUUUUUCAACUCCACUGGCUCUACUUCCUUUCACUUCUAUUUUAAUUUGCUUUAUAACUUAAACCAAGUUUCUUCUAGUUUUAAGUAUGAUUUCUCAAUUUUGUGCUCCUGGGCAUGUUUUUGAUUGACAAUUCACUGGAAUGAACUGACUUCCUCCAUUCUCCCUUUCCUUUUUGACAUGAAUUUUACUACUUUCCACAAAUGUAGAAUGAUGUUGCAAAGUUACUGUGAUGAAGUUGACGAAUACCACUAAAAUGAUUAUGACAUAUAAGUAAUUUUCUCCUGCUGCUUUGAUCAGAUACACAGUUGCUCAAUGACAUUUUUCGACAUGACAUUCUGUUUUGAAUAUCUGUGACUCUGGUCACAGAUUAGAUAGAGGCUAACUAUUCUUGUUAGCCUCUUUUUAUUUUUGCCAAUGUACUACAC